AUUGAACGCUGGCGGCAGGCCUAACACAUGCAAGUCGAGCGCGAAAGGCCUUCGGGCUGAGUAGAGCGGCGGACGGGUGAGUAACGCGUAGGAAUCUACCUGGUAGUGGGGGACAACUUGGGGAAACUCAAGCUAAUACCGCAUACGCCCUAUGGGGGAAAGUGGGGGACCUUCGGGCCUCACGCUAUCAGAUGAGCCUGCGUAGGAUUAGCUAGUUGGUGAGGUAAAGGCUCACCAAGGCGACGAUCCUUAGCUGGUCUGAGAGGAUGAUCAGCCACACUGGGACUGAGACACGGCCCAGACUCCUACGGGAGGCAGCAGUGGGGAAUAUUGCGCAAUGGGGGCAACCCUGACGCAGCCAUGCCGCGUGUGUGAAGAAGGCCUUCGGUU
Molecule: ribosomal RNA, 390 nt
Filed under: uncultured bacterium
Lineage: Bacteria
Description: bacterial SSU rRNA
Rfam family: Bacterial small subunit ribosomal RNA
Source: RNAcentral